CUGAACGUAUCUAAUCGUUCUCUUACUCAAUGGGAUAUUGUGUAUGUAUUGUUUUGCAAUAAGUCUGUGACCGUCUGUGACAUAUGUGUGCCCAUGUUCAGAGUGGCGUUGUAAUUAUGUUUUAAUAUCAUGUAUCGUUCAUGAAUAAUACAGUUAAUUCGUUAUUUCUCGUUCUUUUUUAUAGAUCGGCUUCUUAUGGAAAGCAUAUUGAAGUUUAUUUAGAUGUUAUUAAGUAUCUCCAAGUGGAUGGUGCAUGAUGAUAUGGUUCCUACUGUGCUUCGUUUGUUCUUGCCUUCUUCACGUGGAAACGUCUUAAACAUCAUGAAGAUUAUGAGCAUGAAGGUAAUUUUAAUUCCAUGCUCUGGCAUAAUUUGGACUUUGGCCUGACGCAUCAUCUCGAAACUUUUUGCAGUGAUUUCUUGACAUCUCAACACAUUGCAGUACAUAAAGGAAACAUGAGCUUGCCUUUUUUCUAGUGGUAGUAGACAAUGUAAUAUCUGCAGCUAAAGUCUAAUCUGUCGACUGGCACCAGCACAGAGAUUAUGACCAUGGAGUUAAUUUUGCAUUUUUUGUGGACAUGAUCCUUAACUUGCUGUUAAUGUCUGCAUCCUGCAACUUGUACAUUUCAUUUUCUACGAAUGAGUUAGAAGAGCACCUUGGAUUUGGAUUUCAAUUAAUCUCCAAUAACAUCAUUUUUCCAGAAUUUUCUUAGCUAUUCGUACUUGUUGACUUUGCCACAUUAGAUUCUGCAGUUAAUUAAGAUCGUCGGUGGAGAAGGCAAAGAAGAUCCCGUAGUACAGGGUACAGUGGGUUAUCUGGAAUAGGAGCAA
This 830-nucleotide long non-coding RNA is filed under the name Agrilus planipennis (emerald ash borer). Its description in RNAcentral is "uncharacterized LOC112904701, transcript variant X1". Lineage: Eukaryota; Metazoa; Arthropoda; Insecta; Coleoptera; Buprestidae. The record is from RNAcentral.